Molecule: non-coding RNA, 351 nt
Organism: Pelobates cultripes (western spadefoot toad)
Lineage: Eukaryota; Metazoa; Chordata; Amphibia; Anura; Pelobatidae
Source: the annotation of a GenBank genome assembly
CCUCAGUCCUCGCUGACACACAUGUAGUUAGUUUGUAGCGUCAUUGCUGAAGAACUGCAGGCAAGCACUUAGCAGACUCUAUGUGAGCUGGAUGCAAAAGAUGCCUCAUCCAAGGAUGUCUCCCGCUAGCAGUAUGUAAAUAUACCUGCAGAUUGACUGUUCUAGGCUUUCCAGAGAGGCAGAGCCAGGUCUUGUUAAUUCACAACAAGCCAGAAGCAAGAUCUAAUUCCAUUGCAGCCUUCAGAUUGGGAAUUUCGAGGACUCUUAUCAGUUUCAUUUUCCUAUCACAAGAAUGUUUGCCUCUAUCUGGUAUGCCAAAAAGCUGGGACGGAGGUUUGUACAAAAUGCAAG